This 567-nucleotide ribosomal RNA is filed under the name uncultured bacterium. RNAcentral's name for it is "bacterial SSU rRNA". It matches the Rfam family "Bacterial small subunit ribosomal RNA", at positions 338 to 916 of the family's 1533-position model. The record is from RNAcentral.
CCUACGGGAGGCCAGCAGUGGGGAAUAUUGGGCAAUGGAGGAAACUCUGACCCAGCGACGCCGCGUGCGGGAUGAAGGCCUUCGGGUUGUAAACCGCUUUCAGCAGGGAAGAAGCGAAAGUGACGGUACCUGCAGAAGAAGCACCGGCUAACUAUGUGCCAUCAGCUGCGGUAAUACAUAGGGUGCAAGCGUUGUCCGGAAUUAUUGGGCGUAAAGAGCUCGUAGGUGGUUCGUAACGUCGGGUGUGAAAAUCUGGGGCUCAACCCCAGACCUGCAUUCGAUACGGGCGAACUAGAGUGUGGUAGGGGAGACUGGAAUUCCUGGUGUAGCGGUGGAAUGCGCGGAUAUCAGGAGGAACACCAAUGGCGAAGGCAGGUCUCUGGGCCAUUACUGACACUGAGGAGCGAAAGCGUGGGGAGCGAACAGGAUUAGAUACCCUGGUAGUCCACGCCGUAAACGGUGGGCACUAGUUGUGGGAACCUUCCACGGUUUCUGCGACGCAGCUAACGCAUUAAGUGCCCCGCCUGGGGAGUACGAUCGCAAGAUUAAACUCAAAGGAAUUGACGG